GGAUUUGAGACCCUGAGCCAGCUGAGCCAUGUGGACGAUAACAACGGUGCUCCCUUCAUAACAUUCUUAGGAAACGACGUGUAUGAUACGAAUGGUAUUGAUGACGAUGCACUUGUUACAAAGAUUAGCCAGAAAUGCAAAGCCAGGAAAAACCCUCUGAGGACACAGUAAGAAGGCGCCAUCUGCAGGCCAAGGAGAGGAACUUCACCCUGAUCCCAGCCUUGGAGCCUCUGGGCAGUGAGGAAAAGAAUGGCUGUCACUGAAGUCACCUGGCCUGAUGCUGUGGGAUUUGGGAAGGCAACCCAAACAGACGAAUGCGACGAUAAAAUUCUGACACAGCCCUUGGGUGAAGCUGUACCCAUCAUAUGCGUCCGUGUUUGAGCCGACCAACGCAAGGGCGUGUUUCCGCUACGGUCUGGAACUCUGCCUCGGAGAAGCCAAAUGGGACGUCUGAGCUGCCCGUUAGCUUGGUGAUGGCUGAGCAAGGAGAACCAACUAACCAGAGCCGACAGCCCGAAGCACGGGUCACUACUGGUUCUGAGCACAGCUCUGCUCUCCGAGUAGAACUAUUCACAGAAGCAGCAGCUAGUAAAACAGCGUGCCCGGCAAAGAUUUGCCCACAUAGAAAAUAACCUUAUUUCAAUAAAGGUUUCCUCUAACUUGU
RNAcentral lists this long non-coding RNA (664 nucleotides) under Mus musculus (house mouse). RNAcentral's name for it is "predicted gene, 46555". Lineage: Eukaryota; Metazoa; Chordata; Mammalia; Rodentia; Muridae. The record is from RNAcentral.